Molecule: long non-coding RNA, 256 nt
Filed under: Erythranthe guttata (spotted monkey flower)
Lineage: Eukaryota; Viridiplantae; Streptophyta; Magnoliopsida; Lamiales; Phrymaceae
Description: long non-coding RNA (EGUT_LNC002542)
Source: RNAcentral
UCUCUCUCUCUCUCUCUCAGAUCUCUCUCUCUCUCUCUCUCAGAUCUCUCUCUCAGAUUUCUGUCUCUCUCAGAUCUCUCUCUCAGAUCUCACACAACUAAUUUCAGUGAACUGGAAAAUGGAACAACUCUUCUACAUAAGCAUUUGUUUGUGAAAUUAUAACUAUGCAAGAGAAUUAUCUAAGAGAAGAAGAUUAAUUUAGUCUUUCCGAACUCAAAAGUUAUUUAAGGAGAAACUCAAUGGUUGAUUUUUCAAU